AAUACAUCGCUUUAUUAUUCUUUAAAGAUGUAAAAGCAUAGAAUUAAGACUUUUUGUAAGAAGCAUUGAAGCCAUUUGUACUAAAAAAAAAAGCAGGUGUGCAUGAUUAACCCUAAAGAAUUACAACUAGACGCUCUCAAGAGCCUGGUUCUGCUCACCUUGGUCUAUGUGCAUAUUUAACAAUGGACACAGAUGAAUUCAUUACAACAUUGUGUUUUGGUGAUGGUGAUCUGUUUGUAGAUCUUUCUUUACUGAACAUUCUUGUUGCUACAAUUAUCUCUAUCUAUAAUGAACUUGGCCCAGUAAUUACGGUGGAAAAUAUUUUCUAAAAAUUUAUGAAAAUUGUUAAAAAUCGACUAUAAAGGGCAAUAACUCCUUAAGGGGUCAAUUGACAAUUUUGGUCAUUUGACUUAUUUGUAGAUCUUAUUUUGCUGAACAUUAUUGAUGUUUACAGUUUAUCUCUAUCUAUAAUAAUAUUUAAGAUAAUAACCAAAAUCUGCAAAAUUUCCUUAAAAUUACUAAUUCAUGGGCAGCAACCCAACAACGGCUUGUCCGAUUUGUCUGAAAAUUUCAGGGCAGAUAGAUCUUUUUUACCUCAAAACAAUGUUACCCCAUGUCAGAUUUGCUCUAAAUGCUUUGGUUCAGAGUUAUAAGCCAAAAUCUACAUUUUACCCCUAUGUUCUAUUUUUAGCCAUGGCGGCCAUCUUGGUUGGUUGGCUGGGUCACGCCACACAUUUUAAAAACUAGACACCACAAUAAUGAUUGUGGCCAAGUUUGGUUUAAUUUUGCCCCGUAGUUUCAGAGGAGAAGAUUUUUGUAAAAGUUAACAACGACGGAUGACGCUGAUGACGCCGGACGCAAAGUGAUGAGAAAACCUCAGUUGGCCCUUCAGGCCAGGUGACCUAAAAAGAGCCAUUCAAUUCUUAUAAUUACAUUUUCAUGCUAUAGUAAUAAAAUUAAGAGUUAAAACAAGCAUGGCAUUUGUUUUCCUGUUUAUUGUAAAAUUGUCAUGGAGAUGACAUGCAGUCAUUAAUAUUGCAUUUUAUUGAGGAAUAAAAUGUAAUAUUGGAAUGCCUCAUGAAAGUUUUCUGGCAAUCAAAACAAUGAAAUAUCAUGUAACAUCUAUGCAAAAUUUUAUGAAACAUUAACCCAGUAUAAGUACUCAGUUUAAUAGAUUAACAAGUAAAAGAUGAUGUUAUAAAAUAGUAUUAAAAUUUUCUUGCUUGUUUAUUGCAAAAGUGAGAUCACUCAGUAAAAAGACAUUGUAUGAAAGAGCAAAAUAUGUAAUUGAAAGCAGGUUUAUGUAUUGGAGCACAGUGAUCUAAUUUAGGCGAGUACAUGAGCCCUUGUAAUUAUGAAAAUUUGUCUGAACUAAUCAAUUUAAAAACUUUUGAGUCCAAAGAUGCAUCAAGAUUAUAAAAGGUUGUAUCAAUAGAGCCUAAGACUCGUCCUUUUAUAGAAAAAGCAUUCAUGUACCAUAAACAUUUUCUGAACACAAAAUUGAACAAAUAAGCUUGUGUGAAAUGUAAGACAUAUUGGCGAGUUAACAUAAUGAUUAGCAAAAUGUCAUAUUGGUAUACAUGUAUCUUUUGACAAGCAGGGUAUGUUCUUGAGAUGUGGACACACAUAAACAAAAUAACUUUUGGCAAGCUACUAGUAUUUUGUUUUUGUGCGUGUAGCAAAAUAAAACAAGAAUGUGUCCAAAGUACACGGAUGCCCCACUUGCACUAUCCUUUUCGAUGUUCCAUGGACUGUAAAAAUUGGGUAAUAAUCUAAUUUGGCAUUAAAAUU
RNAcentral lists this long non-coding RNA (1791 nucleotides) under Mytilus galloprovincialis (Mediterranean mussel). The record is from RNAcentral. Lineage: Eukaryota; Metazoa; Mollusca; Bivalvia; Mytilida; Mytilidae.